CACGUAGGGAGCAAGCGUUGUCCGGAUUUAUUGGGCGUAAAGAGCUCGUAGGCUGUUCGAUAAGUCGGGUGUGAAACCUCCAGGCUCAACCUGGAGACGCCACCCGAUACUGUCAUGACUAGAGUCCGGUAGGGGAGCGUGGAAUUCCUGGUGUAGCGGUGAAAUGCGCAGAUAUCAGGAGGAACACCGGUGGCGAAGGCGCCACUCUGGGCCGGUACUGACGCUGAGGAGCGAAAGCGUGGGUAGCAAACAGG
RNAcentral lists this ribosomal RNA (254 nucleotides) under uncultured bacterium. RNAcentral describes it as "partial 16S ribosomal RNA". It matches the Rfam family "Bacterial small subunit ribosomal RNA", at positions 524 to 776 of the family's 1533-position model. The record is from RNAcentral.